UGUAUUUUAUGCAUCGGUAAUAUGUGUGGAUGUGUUAAAAAUGUGUUACCAGUGAUAUUUGUAUUUGGUAAGGGUUUUUAAUAUUUAUGUACCAUGUAUUAAUUAUUAUAUAUUUUGAUUUGAAAACAAAUAAAUUAUUUAACUACUUUUAUUCACUUAAUUGAUUUUUGUGUACAUUAAAAAUAUUAUUAUAUAAGAUGUUUUUGGAAAC
This 211-nucleotide long non-coding RNA is filed under the name Daucus carota (carrot). RNAcentral's name for it is "long non-coding RNA (DCAR_LNC000928)". The record is from RNAcentral. Lineage: Eukaryota; Viridiplantae; Streptophyta; Magnoliopsida; Apiales; Apiaceae.